UAACCUGCCCAAGAGAUCGGGAUAACACCUGGAAACAGAUGCUAAUACCGGAUAACAACAGAUGAUGCCUAUCAACUGUUUAAAAGAUGGUUCUGCUAUCACUCUUGGAUGGACCUGCGGUGCAUUAGCUAGUUGGUAGGGUAACGGCCUACCAAGGCGAUGAUGCAUAGCCGAGUUGAGAGACUGAUAGGCCACAUUGGGACUGAGACACGGCCCAAACUCCUACGGGAGGCAGCAGCA
RNAcentral lists this ribosomal RNA (240 nucleotides) under uncultured Lactobacillus sp. Its description in RNAcentral is "partial 16S ribosomal RNA". It matches the Rfam family "Bacterial small subunit ribosomal RNA", at positions 122 to 355 of the family's 1533-position model. Lineage: Bacteria; Bacillati; Bacillota; Bacilli; Lactobacillales; Lactobacillaceae. The record is from RNAcentral.